AGUGAACGCUGGCGGUAGGCCUAACACAUGCAAGUCGAACGGCAGCACAGUAAGAGCUUGCUCUUACGGGUGGCGAGUGGCGGACGGGUGAGGAAUACAUCGGAAUCUACUUUUUCGUGGGGGAUAACGUAGGGAAACUUACGCUAAUACCGCAUACGACCUACGGGUGAAAGCAGGGGAUCUUCGGACCUUGCGCGAUUGAAUGAGCCGAUGCCGGAUUAGCUAGUUGGCGGGGUAAAGGCCCACCAAGGCGACGAUCCGUAGCUGGUCCGAGAGGAUGAUCAGCCACACUGGAACUGAGACACGGUCCAGACUCCUACGGGAGGCAGCAGUGGGGAAUAUUGGACAAUGGGCGCAAGCCUGAUCCAGCCAUACCGCGUGGGUGAAGAAGGCCUUCGGGUUGUAAAGCCCUUUUGUUGGGAAAGAAAAGCAGCAGGUUAAUACCCCGCUGUUCUGACGGUACCCAAAGAAUAAGCACCGGCUAACUUCGUG
Molecule: ribosomal RNA, 492 nt
Filed under: uncultured bacterium
Lineage: Bacteria
Description: partial 16S ribosomal RNA
Rfam family: Bacterial small subunit ribosomal RNA
Source: RNAcentral